UGGGGAAUUUUGGACAAUGGGCGAAAGCCUGAUCCAGCAAUGCCGCGUGUGUGAAGAAGGCCUUCGGGUUGUAAAGCACUUUUGUCCGGAAAGAAAUCCUUGGCUCUAAUACAGUCGGGGGAUGACGGUACCGGAAGAAUAAGCACCGGCUAACUACGUGCCAGCAGCCGCGGUAAUACGUAGGGUGCAAGCGUUAAUCGGAAUUACUGGGCGUAAAGCGUGCGCAGGCGGUUUGCUAAGACCGAUGUGAAAUCCCCGGGCUCAACCUGGGAACUGCAUUGGUGACUGGCAGGCUAGAGUAUGGCAGAGGGGGGUAGAAUUCCACGUGUAGCAGUGAAAUGCGUAGAGAUGUGGAGGAAUACCGAUGGCGAAGGCAGCCCCCUGGGCCAAUACUGACGCUCAUGCACGAAAGCGUGGGGAGCAAACAGGAUUNGAUACCCUGGUAGUCCACGCCCUAAACGAUGUCAACUAGUUGUUGGGGAUUCAUUUCCUUAGUAACGUAGCUAACGCGUGAAGUUGACCGCCUGGGGAGUACGGUCGCAA
Molecule: ribosomal RNA, 543 nt
Filed under: uncultured bacterium
Lineage: Bacteria
Description: partial 16S ribosomal RNA
Rfam family: Bacterial small subunit ribosomal RNA
Source: RNAcentral